CCGGAAAUCUCACCGGGGGCGACAGCGAUAUGAAGGUCAGGCUGAAGACCUUACCCGAUUAGCUGAGAGGUGGUGCAUGGCCGUCGUCAGUUCGUACUGUGAAGCAUCCUGUUAAGUCAGGCAACGAGCGAGACCCACAUCCACAGUUGCCAGCAUAUUCUCCGGAAUGAUGGGUACACUGUGGAGACCGCCGCUGCUAAAGCGGAGGAAGGAGUGGGCAACGGUAGGUCAGUAUGCCCCGAAUCUCCCGGGCUACACGCGGGCUACAAUGGUUGGUACAAUGGGCAUCUACCCCGAAAGGGGAAGGUAAUCUCUUAAAACCAAUCGUAGUUCGGAUUGAGGGCUGCAACUCGCCCUCAUGAAGCUGGAAUCCGUAGUAAUCGCGUUUCAACAGAACGCGGUGAAUACGUCCCUGCUCCUUGCACACACCGCCCGUCAAACCACCCGAGUAGGGUCUGGAUGAGGGUGUGUUAUUUUGACACAUUCGAAUCCGGGCUUUGCAAGGGGGGUU
This 511-nucleotide ribosomal RNA is filed under the name uncultured archaeon. RNAcentral's name for it is "bacterial SSU rRNA". It matches the Rfam family "Archaeal small subunit ribosomal RNA", at positions 918 to 1429 of the family's 1478-position model. The record is from RNAcentral.